GACAGAGGAGGCAAGCGUUGUUCGGAAUCACUGGGCUUAAAGCGCGUGUAGGCGGCUCGGAAAGUGUCGUGUGAAAUCCAGCGGCUCAACCGCUGAACUGCACGGCAAACUCCCGGGCUUGAGGUCGGUAGAGGUGCCUGGAACUCUAGGUGGAGCGGUGAAAUGCGUAGAUAUCUAGAGGAACGCCGGAGGCGAAAGCGGGGCACUGGGCCGAAUCUGACGCUGAGACGCGAAAGCGUGGGGAG
RNAcentral lists this ribosomal RNA (245 nucleotides) under uncultured bacterium. Its description in RNAcentral is "partial 16S ribosomal RNA". It matches the Rfam family "Bacterial small subunit ribosomal RNA", at positions 524 to 768 of the family's 1533-position model. The record is from RNAcentral.